GACGAACGCUGGCGGCGUGCUUAACACAUGCAAGUCGAACGCUGAAGCUCAGCUUGCUGGGUGGAUGAGUGGCGAACGGGUGAGUAACACGUGAGUAACCUGCCCUCUUCUUUGGGAUAACGCCCGGAAACGGGUGCUAAUACUGGAUAUUCACUGAUUCUCGCAUGGGGGUUGGUGGAAAGUUUUUUCCUGGUGGGGGGUGGGCUCGCGGCCUAUCAGCUUGUUGGUGGGGUGAUGGCCUACCAAGGCUUUGACGGGUAGCCGGCCUGAGAGGGUGACCGGGCACAUUGGGACUGAGAUACGGCCCAGACUCCUACGGGAGGCAGCAGUGGGGAAGAUUGCACAAUGGGCGAAAGCCUGAUGCAGCGGCGCCGCGUGAGGGAUGGAGGCCUGCGGGUUGUUAACCUCUUUCGCUCAUGGUCGAGCCGCAGCUUUGGGUUGUGGUGAGGGUAGUGGGUAAAGAAGCGCCGGCUAACUACGUG
Molecule: ribosomal RNA, 482 nt
Filed under: uncultured bacterium
Lineage: Bacteria
Description: partial 16S ribosomal RNA
Rfam family: Bacterial small subunit ribosomal RNA
Source: RNAcentral